UGUCCUGUCCUGAGCUGAUCAGUGUAUGACUAUGAGGUCUAGAAGGCCUCUUCUCCUCUUCUCUCUUCCUCUCUCCCUGGGUGGUCAAUCAGUAGUAGUCCUUUUCCAAAAUCUGAGGUUGACCAGUUGUCCUGUCCUGAACUGGUCAGUGUGGGACUAUGGUGAGUAGUUUUGGGCAGCCUGGCUCUGGCAAGACUGCUUCCAGAGCCUUUGCACCAGGUCCUCCAGGCCAGGUGACCACACGGAGCUCCACCUCAACAACCAGACAGUCCACCUUGCUUUGGUUUGUAUUGAUUCAUCUCUCUGUAGAACAACAUUUGGUUCUGAUGAUGGAUGUGGGUGACAUGGCUAUACUGCACUGUGGGUAUGAACACAGGUGCUGGAGACAGUCAGCCUUGGGUUCAAGUCCCAGCCUUGCUGGUGAGCAUGCUGAGAGCAGCACGUCACGCAGCAAGCCCCAGGAAGUGACGGCUGUUAUUAGGAAAGUAGAAUACAGAGCAUUUCCACAAAAGAAACAGUGUCCUGAAGAGGGUAGAUACACUAGCUCAUAGGACAUUACCAUAUUUUGUGUCAUUAAGGAAGAACUACCACUCAGUUUGAGAACCAGGUGUGUUCUUGAAUCUUUCUUAAUGUUUUCACAACCUUUCUGUUUCGAGGGUUGGGGGACAAUUACCACAACUUGAAAUCAUCUAGAUUUAGCCUAGAGAUGCUCUCUCCAGAACAACCCUACUCAGACCUUUGCUCUCUGAAUAAAGAACCUCAGAAUGGCCCAAGACAAAGGCUUCCUUUUGUGAGCUGGAAGAACCCAGGACAGGGACAUGGGCGUUUUAGGUCGUAAACAUGCUAUUUUGAUUUUUCAACAUGCUAUUUUGAUUUAACUUUACAUUUACAGAAAGCUUGCAAGAAUAGUUCCAAGAAAUUUUACCUUACUUACUUCAUCAUUUCCCCUUGUUCUCUCUGCCCCUCCCCCAUAUUAUACACUUUUCUUUUUCUAAAUCACUUUCGAGUAAUUUGCAGACAUCAUACCUCUUUUUAUAAAAAUGCUUUAAUAUAUAUUUCCUCAGAGCAUCUUUUUACAUAACUGCCGUAAAUUUAUUGAAAUCAGAUAAUUCAGUGUUGACAGGUAUCAUCCAAUCUACAUUCUAUAUUUAAAUGUCUCCAAUUGUCCCAAUAAUGUCAUAAUUAUAGUUUUUUGGCUUUUCUUUGUCUGAUCUGGAAUCCAAUCCAGAACCAUACAUUGCGGUAAAUUGUCACCUCUUUUCAGUAUCACUUCUUCUGAAACAGUUUCUCAACAUUUUGUCAUUGGUCAUGACAUUUUGAAGAGUACAGGCCAGUUGUUUUGCAGAGUGUCCUUCAGUUUGAGGUUUGUCUGAUGUUCCCUCAUCAUGGGACUGUUAGGUUUUGCAUUUGAGGCAGGAAUACAUCUAAACCAACAUUGUACCCUCAGGAUAUCUCAUCAGAAGCUGCAUGUCAUCUGUUUGGUGGUGCAACCUUUGAUAACUUGGCUAAAGUGUGGAUUGCUAGAUUAAUCCUCUGUAUAAUUGCUAUUCUUCCUUUUCAAUUAAUAAGUAAUUCACCUACUAGCUUUUGCAGAC
This 1595-nucleotide long non-coding RNA is filed under the name Marmota monax (woodchuck). The record is from RNAcentral. Lineage: Eukaryota; Metazoa; Chordata; Mammalia; Rodentia; Sciuridae.